CUGAGAGUUUGAUCCUGGCUCAGAACGAACGCUGGCGGCAGGCCUAACACAUGCAAGUCGAGCGGAAACGAUCCUAGCUUGCUAGGAGGCGUCGAGCGGCGGACGGGUGAGUAACACGUGAGAAUCUGCCCAUUAGUGGGGGAUAACCUGGGGAAACCCAGGCUAAUACCGCAUAAUCCCUACGGGGGAAAGCAGGGGACCUUCGGGCCUUGUGCUGAUGGAUGAGCUCGCGUCGGAUUAGCUUGUUGGUGAGGUAAUGGCUCACCAAG
RNAcentral lists this ribosomal RNA (269 nucleotides) under Pseudo-nitzschia fraudulenta. RNAcentral describes it as "partial Bacterial small subunit ribosomal RNA". It matches the Rfam family "Bacterial small subunit ribosomal RNA", at positions 1 to 272 of the family's 1533-position model. Lineage: Eukaryota; Bacillariophyta; Bacillariophyceae; Bacillariales; Bacillariaceae. The record is from RNAcentral.